RNAcentral lists this ribosomal RNA (240 nucleotides) under uncultured bacterium. Its description in RNAcentral is "partial 16S ribosomal RNA". It matches the Rfam family "Bacterial small subunit ribosomal RNA", at positions 96 to 334 of the family's 1533-position model. The record is from RNAcentral.
UGGCGAACGGGUGAGUAACGCGUGAGUAACCUGCCCUAGAGUGGGGGACAACAGUUGGAAACGACUGCUAAUACCGCAUAAGCCCACGGUACCGCAUGGCACUGAGGGAAAAGGAUUUAUUCGCUUUAGGAUGGACUCGCGUCCAAUUAGCUAGUUGGUGAGGUAACGGCCCACCAAGGCGACGAUCCAUAGCCGACCUGAGAGGGUGACCGGCCACAUUGGGACUGAGACACGGCCCAA